RNAcentral lists this ribosomal RNA (620 nucleotides) under uncultured bacterium. RNAcentral's name for it is "bacterial SSU rRNA". It matches the Rfam family "Bacterial small subunit ribosomal RNA", at positions 338 to 949 of the family's 1533-position model. The record is from RNAcentral.
CCUACGGGAGGCAGCAGUGGGGAAUUUUGGACAAUGGGGGCAACCCUGAUCCAGCCAUUCCGCGUGAGUGAAGAAGGCCUUCGGGUUGUAAAGCUCUUUCGCAAGGGAAGAAAACUUAUGAUCGAAUAAAUCAUGAGGUUGACGGUACCUUGAUAAGAAGCACCGGCUAACUACGUGCCAGCAGCCGCGGUAAUACGUAGGGUGCGAGCGUUAAUCGGAAUUACUGGGCGUAAAGCGUGCGCAGGCGGUUUUGUAAGUCGGAUGUGAAAUCCCCGGGCUCAACCUGGGAACUGCGUUCGAAACUGCAAGGCUAGAGUGUGUCAGAGGGGGGUAGAAUUCCACGUGUAGCAGUGAAAUGCGUAGAGAUGUGGAGGAAUACCAAUGGCGAAGGCAGCCCCCUGGGAUAACGACUGACGCUCAUGCACGAAAGCGUGGGGAGCAAACAGGAUUAGAUACCCUGGUAGUCCACGCCCUAAACGAUGUCAACUAGUUGUUGGUAGAGUAAAAUCUAUGAGUAACGUAGCUAACGCGUGAAGUUGACCGCCUGGGGAGUACGGUCGCAAGAUUAAAACGUCAAAAGAGUAGUAGGACGNGAGAGUGCGACGAGACACGAGGAGGAG